This 468-nucleotide ribosomal RNA is filed under the name uncultured bacterium. RNAcentral describes it as "partial 16S ribosomal RNA". It matches the Rfam family "Bacterial small subunit ribosomal RNA", at positions 28 to 507 of the family's 1533-position model. The record is from RNAcentral.
GACGAACGCUGGCGGUGUGCUUAACACAUGCAAGUCGAACGGUAAGGCCCUUUCGGGGGUACACGAGUGGCGAACGGGUGAGUAACACGUGAGUAACCUGCCCUCAUCUCUGGGAUAACAGUCGGAAACGGUUGCUAAUACUGGAUAUGAGCUUGCAAGGCAUCUUGUGGGUUGGAAAGAUUUUUUUUGGUUGGGGAUGGACUCGCGGCCUAUCAGCUUGUUGGUGAGGUAGUGGCUCACCAAGGCUUCGACGGGUAGCCGGCCUGAGAGGGCGACCGGCCACAUUGGGACUGAGAUACGGCCCAAACUCCUACGGGAGGCAGCAGUGGGGAAUAUUGCACAAUGGACGGAAGUCUGAUGCAGCAACGCCGCGUGCGGGAUGACGGCCUUCGGGUUGUAAACCGCUUUCAAUUGUGACGAAGCUUCUUUGUGACGGUAGCAGUAGAAGAAGCACCGGCUAACUACGUG